Molecule: ribosomal RNA, 915 nt
Filed under: Clostridium botulinum CDC54085
Lineage: Bacteria; Bacillati; Bacillota; Clostridia; Eubacteriales; Clostridiaceae
Description: bacterial SSU rRNA
Rfam family: Bacterial small subunit ribosomal RNA
Source: RNAcentral
CCGGGCUUAACCUGGGGGCUGCAUUCCAAACUGGAUAUCUAGAGUGCAGGAGAGGAAAGCGGAAUUCCUAGUGUAGCGGUGAAAUGCGUAGAGAUUAGGAAGAACACCAGUGGCGAAGGCGGCUUUCUGGACUGUAACUGACGCUGAGGCACGAAAGCGUGGGUAGCAAACAGGAUUAGAUACCCUGGUAGUCCACGCCGUAAACGAUGGAUACUAGGUGUAGGGGGUAUCAACUCCCCCUGUGCCGCAGUUAACACAAUAAGUAUCCCGCCUGGGGAGUACGGUCGCAAGAUUAAAACUCAAAGGAAUUGACGGGGGCCCGCACAAGCAGCGGAGCAUGUGGUUUAAUUCGAAGCAACGCGAAGAACCUUACCUGGACUUGACAUCCCUUGCAUAGCCUAGAGAUAGGUGAAGCCCUUCGGGGCAAGGAGACAGGUGGUGCAUGGUUGUCGUCAGCUCGUGUCGUGAGAUGUUAGGUUAAGUCCUGCAACGAGCGCAACCCUUGUUAUUAGUUGCUACCAUUAAGUUGAGCACUCUAAUGAGACUGCCUGGGUAACCAGGAGGAAGGUGGGGAUGACGUCAAAUCAUCAUGCCCCUUAUGUCCAGGGCUACACACGUGCUACAAUGGUAGGUACAAUAAGAUGCAAGACCGUGAGGUGGAGCAAAACUUAUAAAACCUAUCUCAGUUCGGAUUGUAGGCUGCAACUCGCCUACAUGAAGCUGGAGUUGCUAGUAAUCGCGAAUCAGAAUGUCGCGGUGAAUACGUUCCCGGGCCUUGUACACACCGCCCGUCACACCAUGAGAGCUGGUAACACCCGAAGUCCGUGAGGUAACCGUAAGGAGCCAGCGGCCGAAGGUGGGAUUAGUGAUUGGGGUGAAGUCGUAACAAGGUAGCCGUAGGAGAACCUGCGGCUG